Phyllostomus discolor (pale spear-nosed bat) is the source of this 311-nucleotide long non-coding RNA. RefSeq lists it as uncharacterized. The transcript has 3 exons. The record is from RefSeq and is a predicted model, not a curated record. NCBI's taxonomy places the organism in Eukaryota, Metazoa, Chordata, Mammalia, Chiroptera, Phyllostomidae.
AGCUGACAGGACGGCGUGCAGGAGCUGAGAGGAGGUCGUCUUGGGUCAGGGUGGCCCUGCGUCCAGUGACAGUGUCCUGAGAAGGGACAGAAGAGGAGACGCAGACCCGGAGGAGAAGCCACGUGGAGACGGAGGCAGAGACGGCGGGGGGACGCGGCCACCAGCCCAGGGACGCCUGGAGCCCCCCCCAGGAGCUGGAAGAGGCGGGAAGGACCCUCCCCGCAGCCUGUGGAGGGAGCACGGCCCCAGGACCCCUGGACCUCAGACGCCUGGUCUCCAGGACGGGGGAGGGUGAAUGUCUGUGGUUUGAG